CUCACAUCCUGCCUUUGCAAGAGAGCGCUCCAGGGACCGAUCAUCCACACCCAACCUGCAGCCCACACAGCACAAGACACCCAGGUGCAUGUCCAUGUGGCUUUCCUGCAUGACUGACUUCCCGUCAGUCAGCCAGAGGAUAUCAGAAAAAUCCCCUCCAGACCUCCACGGCACCUCGGCACAGCGGAGGCCCAGCGGGGCGGAAACCGGGCCGAGCUGAUCCACGACAAAAGCCAACUGGGAGUGAUUGACUCUCCAAUCUUAAGAAGGUCAAAUACCUCGGUGGCUUGGCUAACUCUGCUCAAGAUUACUUGCCACUCAAGGAGAGGAAGCAGUGGUGGAGUGGAGGUGACGUUCCAGGUACAGUUAAAGCAGACAGAGGAUUAUCUUUCCUCUUAUUAGCGUGUUACUCAACAGAUUAAAUUGUCCAGAAUACUGCCAUAACCACACAAAGAAAAAGAAGCCUAAAUGCAACCUGCCAUAAAGUGAUUACUUCUACUUUGUCAGAGAGAGAUUCUGAAUAAACACAGGCUCAGUGACCAAUUAGUCAUUGAAAUUGGAAGACAUAAAAAGACAAGGCUAACAAGGGAUGUGCAGGCAGAGAUACUCCUCCUCUUUUGUGUUGAAAAUAUCCUUCAUUCUUUGAAGAAACAGUGAGCAAAAAACCUGAAGUUCUCCUCUAAGAGAAAAAUCUUAAUUGUCAUGGCUGAAGUGACAGCAGCAGCAAUUGUGACUAGAUAUAUCACAGGCUGUCAGAGAACCAGAUGCUCUGAAUAACUGUCGCAUCUGCAGAUAACUCACUGACUGUUGAAAUAAAUGUUGCUCUACAGACGCUGUACAUGACAUCUUGUCUCAAAGCUAGUGUACAGGCUGUAGUCGUUUUUGUACAAGCGAUACA
Molecule: long non-coding RNA, 898 nt
Organism: Epinephelus fuscoguttatus (brown-marbled grouper)
Lineage: Eukaryota; Metazoa; Chordata; Actinopteri; Perciformes; Serranidae
Exons: 3
Source: RefSeq, a predicted model, not a curated record